Long non-coding RNA from Raphanus sativus (radish), 1007 nucleotides. RefSeq lists it as uncharacterized. The transcript is spliced from 3 exons. The record is from RefSeq and is a predicted model, not a curated record. Lineage: Eukaryota; Viridiplantae; Streptophyta; Magnoliopsida; Brassicales; Brassicaceae.
UAACAUUGCUAUAUUCAGUAGAGAAAUUUAAUAGAAUAGCAUAGAAAAGUUGUUAUAUGACUAGAAUAUCAUACAUCUUUUAUAAAUUACUAGAAUAUUUUUUAAUCCCUAGUAAUUUAUAUUAAAGACACUCACUUAGUCUUUUAAUUGGUAUUAGUUUUAUUUAACAAAUAUAUGUCACAAAUAAUUCCAAUCCACGUCACUAAUAAUUGUAGUCUCAAUUGAACGAUGUUCAACUUAAAUUUUCCGUUGUUAAAAAGAAAAUUAUCUUUCGUCGAUUAAACCCUCACCACCAUUUGAGUCGGCAUUAUCUUCUCUGAAAUCAUCAACUUCGCAAGUGUCUACUUUGAAAUCUUCUAAAAUUGUCUUCUCCGUUGAUUUAUAUAUGCAGUUGUGGCUGAGUUACUUCCUGCGAAUCUCCGAAAACAUAGAUUUAAGCAGUUUUUGUUCCGAGGAGAAAAGGUAAAGACAUUCCAAAAACACCCAAGUUUGCGAUUGUGAGGUGUAUUCAUUGAAGUUUGUCAAGUGUAUGAUGGACAAUACUUUUUUGGAAGAAACAGAUUCUCGGUUGGACUAAUGACUGUAUUCAUCUCAAUCUCACGCUUAUUGAAGAGGCAUGUGAUUAUAUUGUUAAAAGCUUGAUUCUUUGUUUCUGCAUGUGGUUGAUCUGGUUUCAUUGUGUGCAUUGUUAAAAAGAACGUGUCUUUGGCUUUUGUUUUGAUUGAGAUUUGAAUGACAGAGAAGCUCGAGCGAGAAGAGAAUGGAGGAGACAGAGAGAAGUGACAGAUUCAAUUGAGACGAAGCAGAGGAUUUCAAUGAAGCUUGGAGACAUGGAGGAGUUAUCACAGAAUAGUGCAGCAAACUUGUAUUUUGUGUUAUCUAUAAGAAACAUAACCGAGCCGUGUAUUUUGUAUUUGACUUAUGCUAUGUUUACACAACUCAGCUGUGUUUUUAUAUAUAUCAGCUGUAUUUUUUAUAUAACUCAGUCAUACCUCAAACAUACUCUA